UGAAGCGCUUAAAUCUUUCAUGUUUUUGGACAACACAGUCUAUAUGUUUUCUGCAUAAUGUAUGAUUUCUUUAAACUAUAGUAUUAAAAAUAAUUUCAAAUUGUAAUGAAAAGUCAUUUGGCUUUAAAACCACCCAGGAAGAGGAUAUAAAAUGCAUAUACCAAAAGACUGUGAUGCGGCUUCCAGUGCUUUUCUGAUAUAGAUCAUAAUAAUUUAGAAAGGCUUUGUCAGGCUUUCUGAAUACAUCAAAUACUUCUUCAUUUCUGUGUCAGCUAUGAAGCUCUAACUAUAGUGGCUUCUCUAGCAGGUAUUCUCCGCGCAACUGUGCCAAAUCGUUCUGAGGACACCCAGAUUCUCCUCCUUCUCAAAACAGACAUUCCUGACUGGGUCCUAGGGCAUGGAGAGAGGCGUUGGACCCCCACUGCCCUCUGGGUUCUCCGAGAACCAGGACUUGUUGCUCCGGCGGGAACUCGCGCGGAUCCACCGGCUCGGCACAUCCUGCCUACAAAUACGGCGGCGUGUGCUAGGAGCCGGGCCCCAGGCCGAGUCGUCCGUGCCGCAGCGGAGAGCUCCGACCGGCGCGGCCCCACCAUCCGCUGACCUUCGCCCGGUCCGGCCUGGAGCCCGGCCGCGGCCUCCCUAGGCCUCUCUAGGCCGGGCACCGGUUCAGCGAGGACCGGAAGCGCCCGCCGCCCGCCCUUCCGCCUCCAGGCCGCGGGCGCCAGGCCGGGGGCGGGCCGUGGACGCCCUGGGAGUGCCCCGGGGGCCGCCUUCUUCCCCGCAAGCCCGGAGCGGGCGUCGCUCCCGUCCCCGCCUCAUCUUCAGUUCCCCCGGCGCUUCCGCCGCCGCGUGGGUAGAACAGACCCGAGCCGGUAGCCAGGCCUGCGGCCCCUCGAACACUAGCCACGUCUGCCCCGCCGGGCCUAGCACGGAGAGAGGCCCUGGGGCUUGGCGGCCGGGGCCGGGAGAGGUCGCGCGGCCGAGGACACCCGAGGGCCUGGGCUGCUUCCCCGCCCUUCCCCGCCCCUCCCCUCGGCCCUGGAAUCAAUAGUGGCCGCUGACUUUUCACGACAAUUGCAGCUGUCUAAUUCAUCAGCGAAUAAUUAAAUCAGAGGCCGCCGGGCCUGCCUGGAGUCGGAGACGAGGGGUCGCUCCUCUCAAAUCCUGUCAAAAUGGGGAGCCAGUGGGCAGCGCGGAGAGCGGACAGGCCUCACCCUGCGCGGAGGCUGCGAGAGCCGCCUGGACCCGGCGCCAUUCCGAGUGUAGGGGGAAGCAAGCCCCCAGGUGUGGGGAGCAAAAGGAAGGAGGAAGGCACAGGCGGGGGCCCCGCCGAGGCUGGACUCCCUGGUCAGCAGGGUCCUCCUGGCCGGUGCGUGGUCCUGGUGCCCGGCGUGUAGCAGCGGCCUUGGGGCCCACAGACAGCAUCCUCGCGCAGACUUCGCCAAGGUUGCGGAACUCCAUCCUUGGGAGGCGCUUUGCCUUUGAGGAAGAUGGAGAGGAGUCGGGAGAAGCGCCUAGAAACCGCAUUGAUUUAGACAUCAAUCCUGGCCGGCUCCCUCCGCCUCCCGAGCUGCGGGGCCGCGCCGCCCCGUCCCCGAGAAGCGGACCUAGGGUCCGCCGGGCUCUGCCGAGCGGGCGAAGGGAGCGGCCUGCCCCGCCACCCCGCGCCCGCGACGUCGACGCCGCAGCCGCCACGCCAACAACGAUUCCUCGUGGCCAACAGGUUUCUCGCAGCCCUCCGAGUCCGUAGCGCCGCCCGCGUCCCUCUUCCAUCCCGGCCGGCGGGACGCCCUCGGAGCUUGUGCUCUCUCGAGGCCGCCGAGCCCACUGAGCCCGGCCGGGGCGCUGGUUCGCGUGGGCCGCGGGGAGUAGGUCCCGCUUCUCCAACGACCACGGCCCCGGCGGCUGCGAAACGGCCACCUCCGACCCUUGAGUCCGCCAGAGUCGCUCUCCCUUCCACGUUUGCAAGCAAAACAUUAGUAAUAGUGACAUCGAGGCACUUUUCCAAACUAAAAUGGUCCUAAAAUAAUCUGAAUGUACUGUUACUUUUGAUCGUGUUACCACAAAAGAUCAGCUCAGAUUCACUUGGUUCUUUUAUUUCUUUGGGAGAUGAUACUCGAGGAAUCUGAAAAAAAUAUGAUUUUUAAAAACGAUCUGAUUCGCAUACCUAUUUCAACCCCUCGGUUGGUUUUGUUAGUUUCCAAAUAGAAAUAUUGCCUUUUGAAAUCGGAGAUAAUAUUUCUCAAAUUUAAAAUCUAGCCAAGUCUUUUUUUUAAUACUCCGUAUGAAAUUUUUUUCCAUGGUAGCUAGACAAUUGAAAUUAUAUGCAAAGAUUUUUUAACUCUCAGAUUUUCAUUGGAAGGGGACGUAAUAGUUUUUGUACUAAUGCCUAAACAAUGUUGGAUUUUCAAUCAAAAAGUAUUUUCACGGCAAAUAAAUGAUAGUUUUAACAGGGUAAUAAAUAAAAGCAACACCCGUGCUUAGUGUCUCAGGGCAACUUGAAAACAGCUCCACUUUCAGGGAGUUAAAUUUGUCCUUUUUACAAUCAACUGCAACUUUUGCCUUCCUUUGGAAAGGACGACAAAAAGAUUUCACGUACAACUUGACCGGAACAAAGGGACAUCAUGCCAGUUUUUCUUUUGUGGGGUGACAACUAAAAGACAGGAAAAGUUUAUUUUAACCAUACUUGAGUUGUACUUUUGGAACCCUCCUUUAAAGAGAAAAUGUGACGGCAGAUCUUACAACUUAAAAAUCGAAGCUAUGGGGCUUUGGGGCAGAAGGGACAGAUAGCGCGAGCAAAACUGAAAGUCGGUGAGGGGAAAUUUUGUCUUCGUUCUCAGACUAAGUUGCCUAUUUAAAAUGAAACUUUCUUCUAGAGCAAAAUCUCCGUUCCCCUAAGAGCUGUGCUUCCCCCACCCCUUCCGCAAAAAGAAGCCCUUGCGUAUUUGCAGGUUCGAAUCCUCAACCUUCCCUCCUUUGAAUUUCAUUUUCCCAAAAGAGUAGAAUUAUUUCUCCCACCAGCUUCUGCAGCCUUAGCAUCCGAAAAAUCGGGUGGGUGGGGCGUUGCAGAAAGGGUCUGCAGUUGGCCUCGAAUUCGGAGGAAGGAAAGUCCCUGGAAGGGACCGCAGUCCCAGCCCCCAGUCCUGGGGACCGGUCCAGAUCAGAGGCCCGGCCACCCACUUCCACCCAAACUCCUCACGGGAGGGGGCUGUGGAAACCCAGAGAGGGCAGGCAGCCGGAGAAGCAAAGAAAUGUACGUGUGUGUGUGUCAGGGAAGUAAGCGGUUCCCGAAGACACAAAACUUCAACAGUCCCCUAUCUGUAUGGGUAGAGGAGGGCGAUCAAGGUCGGCCGCCCUGGUGUUUUUUAAAACUAGACAGGUGGACGCGCUAGCAGCUUAGCUAGGCAGAGCUGGGAUUCCGGUUUCCCCUGCAGACUGACACUCCCUGGAGCAGGUGCCUAAGCUCUUUGGGGUGGGGUCUCCUCCCCUUUCCCCUCUCUCGAGCCUGCCCACUCUCGGCGUCUGGACUGCGGAGGAAAUUGUAGUUUGCUUCCCGCAGCCCUACUCUCCCACCUUCUAAUCCAGGUGCUGGGCUUGGGGCUCGGAGAGCACCUUCCCCCAGCAGGCAGGGCUCCUGUAGCUUCUUUUUCCUUUCCCUAAGAGGCCGGACGAGGGUGAGAACAAGACUAACAACCCCAUAUCUCUCCCUGCCCCCACGCAAAGUAUCUUUUAUCAACAAAAAAGUUAAGGGCGGUCCCCUGCCAGCUCUGCUAACCUGGCGUUUUCAAUUUUAACAAGAUUAACGGAGAAGAAGGAGACAAAAAAGGACGCGUUUGGCCUCACCACCCAGAAAAACAAAAAACUUUCCAAGAUCAAACUGGCAAAUCUGAAAAGUGACGGUGAAUUGUGACAGUGAAUUUCUGAGCUGAGAGGCCAAAGAGAGUUAGUGGGGCCCGGCUUCGGUUUUAGUUUUAUUCUCCCUGGGCUCAGGCAGCCCGAGCUUUCAAACAGAAGAAAACUGAAGCUAAUGAAGAUCUCAAACAGAGCCACAAUUCCGAGGGCCCCUUUUCCGCCACAAGCACCCACUGUCCAUCUGCACGUGUAAUCACAGAGACUUGCCCUGUCUUCAUCACCAGGGGAUCCGAGGAAAGGGGAGAAAAUUCUCUGCCGUGAAAAGGAAGCUUGUGUUAUCACUACUAUUAUUUGUGUAUAGCGACUUAAAAGUUUCCUUGUCCUCUUCAAAUUCCCCUACAAUAUUGAAACAGCAUUUGUUGCCCCAUUCUUACAAACGCUUGAGGCCUUUCUGGAAAACCAUUACCAUUCAAUGGCUAGAAAAUUGCUCUCCUUCCUUUUUUUUUUUUUUUUUUUUAAAAAAAAAAAAAAAAAAAAAAAAAAAAAAAAAAAGGCAGGCGCAGCAGCAGCUAUAACAGACAACAAAAACUUUCUCCCGCAUAAUCCUCGCCCUCAGAAUGACAAAGAAAUGAUAUUGACUUACCCCCGAACGGAUGAUGUGUUUGAUAAGGGGGGGAACUUUUUUUUUUUUUUUUUUGAAGAUUUCUGUUGAGGAGCUGCACAGACAGCUGCAAUUCAUGGGCGACGCUGAUUGCCAGAAACGCUAUGGAUUGGCAUGGGGUCUGCAGCUCACAGAUCCCUGAUCAAUACCCCUACACUCACACGCCAGAUGGUUUGGGAAGGACAAAAAUAAAAUAGUCCAAAUCAACCCACCAUUAUGUUUUUGUGUGUGUGUAUUGCUCUGAUAAACCUAGUUGUAGCAUAAAUGUGUUCUACCCUGACACGAAACCUGACAAGAUUUCGAGCAUUGGGGUAGAAAUUAGCAGCCCUCCUCUACCCUAGAUUUGGGUCGUGGUUACUGUUGUAUAGUAAAAACAAAGAUAUUGGGCCCCUUAUGCAGAUUGGGUUUACUUGUGGUCUGUUUAUCUUUUUCCGUGAAUAAUUUAUAAAGUCUCUCUUUUAAUUGAA
Molecule: long non-coding RNA, 4980 nt
Filed under: Pongo abelii (Sumatran orangutan)
Lineage: Eukaryota; Metazoa; Chordata; Mammalia; Primates; Hominidae
Description: lincRNA
Source: RNAcentral